AGCUUGCUGCUUCGCUGACGAGUGGCGGACGGGUGAGUAAUGUCUGGGAAACUGCCUGAUGGAGGGGGAUAACUACUGGAAACGGUAGCUAAUACCGCAUAACGUCGCAAGACCAAAGAGGGGGACCUUCGGGCCUCUUGCCAUCGGAUGUGCCCAGAUGGGAUUAGCUAGUAGGUGGGGUAACGGCUCACCUAGGCGACGAUCCCUAGCUGGUCUGAGAGGAUGACCAGCCACACUGGAACUGAGACACGGUCCAGACUCCUACGGGAGGCAGCAGUGGGGAAUAUUGCACAAUGGGCGCAAGCCUGAUGCAGCCAUGCCGCGUGUAUGAAGAAGGCCUUCGGGUUGUAAAGUACUUUCAGCGGGGAGGAAGGCGACAAGGUUAAUAACCUUGUCGAUUGACGUUACCCGCAGAAGAAGCACCGGCUAACUCCGUGCCAGCAGCCGCGGUAAUACGGAGGGUGCAAGCGUUAAUCGGAAUUACUGGGCGUAAAGCGCACGCAGGCGGUCUGUCAAGUCGGAUGUGAAAUCCCCGGGCUCAACCUGGGAACUGCAUUCGAAACUGGCAGGCUAGAGUCUUGUAGAGGGGGGUAGAAUUCCAGGUGUAGCGGUGAAAUGCGUAGAGAUCUGGAGGAAUACCGGUGGCGAAGGCGGCCCCCUGGACAAAGACUGACGCUCAGGUGCGAAAGCGUGGGGAGCAAGCAGGAUUAGAUACCCUGGUAGUCCACGCCGUAAACGAUGUCGACUUGGAGGUUGUGCCCUUGAGGCGUGGCUUCCGGAGCUAACGCGUUAAGUCGACCG
This 801-nucleotide ribosomal RNA is filed under the name uncultured bacterium. RNAcentral describes it as "bacterial SSU rRNA". It matches the Rfam family "Bacterial small subunit ribosomal RNA", at positions 77 to 871 of the family's 1533-position model. The record is from RNAcentral.